GCUAGACAUAGCAGUAAUGCAGUUAACCAUUAAGUGUGCCGCCUGGGGAGUACGGUCGCAAGAUUAAAACUCAAAGGAAUAGACGGGGACCCGCACAAGCGGUGGAGCAUGUGGUUUAAUUCGACGAUACGCGAAGAACCUUACCUGGACUUGACAUAGAAAGAAUUACGCAGAGAUGUAUAAGUGCUAGCUUGCUAGAACUUUCAUACAGGUGCUGCACGGCUGUCGUCAGCUCGUGUCGUGAGAUGUUGGGUUAAGUCCCGCAACGAGCGCAACCCUCGUGUUUAGUUGCUAACAGUUCGGCUGAGAACUCUAAACAGACUGCCUGGGUAACCAGGAGGAAGGUGAGGACGACGUCAAGUCAUCAUGGCCCUUAUGUCCAGGGCUACACACGUGCUACAAUGGGGCAUACAAAGAGCAGCGAUACCGCGAGGUGGAGCAAAUCUCAAAAAUGCCUCCCAGUUCGGAUAGCACUCUGCAACUCGAGUGCUUGAAGUUGGAAUCGCUAGUAAUCGUAGAUCAGCAAUGCUACGGUGAAUACGUUCCCGGGUCUUGUACUCACCGCCCGUCACACCAUGGGAAUUGAAUUCAUUCGAAGCGGGGAUGCUAAAAUAGCUACCUUCCACAGUGGAUUUAGUAACUGGGGUGAAGUCGUAACAAGGUAGCCG
This 668-nucleotide ribosomal RNA is filed under the name uncultured bacterium. RNAcentral's name for it is "bacterial SSU rRNA". It matches the Rfam family "Bacterial small subunit ribosomal RNA", at positions 830 to 1502 of the family's 1533-position model. The record is from RNAcentral.